CUGAUUAGAAGCUUGCUUCUAUGACGUUAGCGGCGGACGGGUGAGUAACACGUGGGCAACCUGCCUGUAAGACUGGGAUAACUUCGGGAAACCGAAGCUAAUACCGGAUAGGAUCUUCUCCUUCAUGGGAGAUGAUUGAAAGAUGGUUUCGGCUAUCACUUACAGAUGGGCCCGCGGUGCAUUAGCUAGUUGGUGAGGUAACGGCUCACCAAGGCAACGAUGCAUAGCCGACCUGAGAGGGUGAUCGGCCACACUGGGACUGAGACACGGCCCAGACUCCUACGGGAGGCAGCAGUAGGGAAUCUUCCGCAAUGGACGAAAGUCUGACGGAGCAACGCCGCGUGAGUGAUGAAGGCUUUCGGGUCGUAAAACUCUGUUGUUAGGGAAGAACAAGUACGAGAGUAACUGCUCGUACCUUGACGGUACCUAACCAGAAAGCCACGGCUAACUACGUGCCAGCAGCCGCGGUAAUACGUAGGUGGCAAGCGUUAUCCGGAAUUAUUGGGCGUAAAGCGCGCGCAGGCGGUUUCUUAAGUCUGAUGUGAAAGCCCACGGCUCAACCGUGGAGGGUCAUUGGAAACUGGGGAACUUGAGUGCAG
This 599-nucleotide ribosomal RNA is filed under the name Priestia aryabhattai. RNAcentral's name for it is "bacterial SSU rRNA". It matches the Rfam family "Bacterial small subunit ribosomal RNA", at positions 67 to 651 of the family's 1533-position model. The record is from RNAcentral. Lineage: Bacteria; Bacillati; Bacillota; Bacilli; Caryophanales; Bacillaceae.